Molecule: non-coding RNA, 236 nt
Organism: Cinara cedri
Lineage: Eukaryota; Metazoa; Arthropoda; Insecta; Hemiptera; Aphididae
Source: the annotation of a GenBank genome assembly
GGAAACGACGGCGAUGCACAAAAGAACUCAAACACAAUGCAUUCACCGCGGAGGAAGAGACGACGUCGUCGUGGUGUAGUGGCGGGUGCAGCCGGCAAUCGAGACGCGCGCACCCGGACUGUAUCGUAUGGUGCGAAUAACCGCACGAGGCACGAAGACGAUGUUUUUAGAUUCCGAACUGAACAGAGUAUUUUACGUAUUGGUUUUGCUGUGAUUCGCGCACGUGUGUGUGUUAU